AGAGUUUGAUCAUGGCUCAGGAUGAACGCUGGCGGCGUGCCUAACACAUGCAAGUCGAGCGAUCUUCUUCGGAAGAGAGCGGCGGACGGGUGAGUAACGCGUGGGUAACCUGCCUCAUACACAUGGAUAACAUACCGAAAGGUAUGCUAAUACAAGAUGAUAUAAGAGAUUCGCAUGGAUUUCUUAUCAAAGCUCCGGCGGUAUGAGAUGGACCCGCGUCUGAUUAGCUAGUUGGUAAGGUAACGGCUUACCAAGGCGACGAUCAGUAGCCGACCUGAGAGGGUGAUCGGCCACAUUGGAACUGAGACACGGUCCAAACUCCUACGGGAGGCAGCAGUGGGGAAUAUUGCACAAUGGGCGAAAGCCUGAUGCAGCAACGCCGCGUGAGCGAUGAAGGCCUUCGGGUCGUAAAGCUCUGUCCUCAAGGAAGAUAAUGACGGUACUUGAGGAGGAAGCCCCGGCUAACUACGUGCCAGCAGCCGCGGUAAUACGUAGGGGGCUAGCGUUAUCCGGAUUUACUGGGCGUAAAGGGUGCGUAGGUGGUUUCUUAAGUCAGGAGUGAAAGGCUACGGCUCAACCGUAGUAAGCUCUUGAAACUGGGAAACUUGAGUGCAGGAGAGGAAAGUGGAAUUCCUAGUGUAGCGGUGAAAUGCGUAGAUAUUAGGAGGAACACCAGUAGCGAAGGCGGCUUUCUGGACUGUAACUGACACUGAGGCACGAAAGCGUGGGGAGCAAACAGGAUUAGAUACCCUGGUAGUCCACGCCGUAAACGAUGAGUACUAGGUGUCGGGGGUUACCCCCCUCGGUGCCGCAGCU
Molecule: ribosomal RNA, 816 nt
Filed under: uncultured bacterium
Lineage: Bacteria
Description: bacterial SSU rRNA
Rfam family: Bacterial small subunit ribosomal RNA
Source: RNAcentral